ACCCUUUAAUGUUUGAUGUUCUAACGUGGACCCGUGAUCCGGGUUGCGGACAGUGUCUGGUGGGUAGUUUGACUGGGGCGGUCUCCUCCUAAAGAGUAACGGAGGAGCACGAAGGUUGGCUAAUCCUGGUCGGACAUCAGGAGGUUAGUGCAAUGGCAUAAGCCAGCUUGACUGCGAGCGUGACGGCGCGAGCAGGUGCGAAAGCAGGUCAUAGUGAUCCGGUGGUUCUGAAUGGAAGGGCCAUCGCUCAACGGAUAAAAGGUACUCCGGGGAUAACAGGCUGAUACCGCCCAAGAGUUCAUAUCGACGGCGGUGUUUGGCACCUCGAUGUCGGCUCAUCACAUCCUGGGGCUGAAGUAGGUCCCAAGGGUAUGGCUGUUCGCCAUUUAAAGUGGUACGCGAGCUGGGUUUAGAACGUCGUGAGACAGUUCGGUCCCUAUCUGCCGUGGGCGCUGGAGAACUGAGGGGGGCUGCUCCUAGUACGAGAGGACCGGAGUGGACGCAUCACUGGUGUUCGGGUUGUCAUGCCAAUGGCACUGCCCGGUAGCUAAAUGCGGAAGAGAUAAGUGCUGAAAGCAUCUAAGCACGAAACUUGCCCCGAGAUGAGUUCUCCCUGAGACUUUAGGUCUCCUGAAGGAACGUUGAAGACGACGACGUUGAUAGGCCGGGUGUGUAAGCGCAGCGAUGCGUUGAGCUAACCGGUACUAAUGAACCGUGAGGCUUAACCUUACAAC
RNAcentral lists this ribosomal RNA (734 nucleotides) under Salmonella enterica. RNAcentral describes it as "partial 23S ribosomal RNA". It matches the Rfam family "Bacterial large subunit ribosomal RNA", at positions 2202 to 2925 of the family's 2925-position model. Lineage: Bacteria; Pseudomonadati; Pseudomonadota; Gammaproteobacteria; Enterobacterales; Enterobacteriaceae. The record is from RNAcentral. RNAcentral also lists the same sequence under 4 other names.